Molecule: ribosomal RNA, 155 nt
Filed under: Origanum majorana
Lineage: Eukaryota; Viridiplantae; Streptophyta; Magnoliopsida; Lamiales; Lamiaceae
Description: 5.8S ribosomal RNA
Rfam family: 5.8S ribosomal RNA
About the family: 5.8S ribosomal RNA (5.8S rRNA) is a component of the large subunit of the eukaryotic ribosome. It is transcribed by RNA polymerase I as part of the 45S precursor that also contains 18S and 28S rRNA. Functionally, it is thought that 5.8S rRNA may be involved in ribosome translocation.
Source: RNAcentral
CUCGGCAACGGAUAUCUCGGCUCUCGCAUCGAUGAAGAACGUAGCGAAAUGCGAUACUUGGUGUGAAUUGCAGAAUUCCGUGAACCAUCGAGUCUUUGAACGCAAGUUGCGCCCGAAGCCAUUAGGCUGAGGGCACGUCUGCCUGGGCAUCACGC